Molecule: long non-coding RNA, 1238 nt
Filed under: Daucus carota (carrot)
Lineage: Eukaryota; Viridiplantae; Streptophyta; Magnoliopsida; Apiales; Apiaceae
Description: long non-coding RNA (DCAR_LNC004717)
Source: RNAcentral
AACAUUGAAAAGAAAGGUAUGAAUACUUGAAACAUAUACCAAAGGAAUGGAUCAGAAUAUUUGCAAUAUAUCCAAGAGAAAGGUUUAGGAUACUUGCAGCACAUAUAGAAAAGAAUGGAUCAGAAUAUGCAAUAUAUCCAAAAGCAGGGUGUAGGAUACUUGCCUUAAAUCUGACUCCAGUUUCAUAGCUCAACCUCAUCUUUCAACUUUCACAAUCUAUGCAUAUCAUAGUCUCAACCAUCUCUGGCUAUACCCUAUUCGCCACACCACUUCGCUUACUCGACUCAUUCCUUAUUCGCUUUGCAAUACCAUUCCGACUUUCUGACGUCUUCGAGCGUACACGUCUCGUCCAAAUCCUUUACGAGAAUAAGAUAAUGCUAUAGUCACUAAACAAUAUAUCGCAUAUACAUAUCACGUAUAUCGAUAUCCACUUAUAUACCCCUUUAAACAUAUCACAUACCACGUAACACAUAAGCAUGCUUUGACUCUAACAUAUAAUCAAUCAUAUUCCACAUAACAUAUCACCAAUCAAUUAUCAUAUCAAUCCUUAUCGAAAAUCCGACAUCGUUUCGUCUAUGUAUAAGACUAUCCACCUGUUAUCCUAUCUCAAUCAACACCCAAUCAACCAAUUCCAAUUCCUAUAAUCCAUAUGUCCUUAUCCAAUACUAAUCAAAUCAUGACACUAUGUCAUAUAAAUCAUUUAUCACAUAUCACUUAACACGUAAUCAUCAAUUUAUAGCAAUUAGAUCACAUAUACUCACAUUCUACAUUUUAAACAACACAUGGUCACAUUCUCGACUCAAUCCAAUUAUUAUGUCACAUCAAACUAGACUUUAUAAGCUUUCAUCUCUCUUUCGUUUCACUUGAUUCCGACUUACGGAUCAAAAGUUAUGACCAAAACCGUUUUCUGACUCCGCUCUCAACAUAUAAUACCUUACACCGAUAGCAGACAACACAUUACACAUUAAGUCUCCCAUCCCAAUUGAUGUCAAGUCAAGUCUUGGGUUAAAAAUGAUUUUUCGGGAAUUUUCUGGAAUUUUUAAACAUUUUUCGGAAUUAAAAUCGAUAAAAGAAUCACUUUUCGAAUAAAUAAUCAAGUCCCAAAUACUUGAAAUUGGACUUGAAAUCAUUCAUAAACAAUUAUCGAGCCUUGAAAAUAACUUGGAAAAAUAUUUCAAAGCUCGAAACUAUUUUUCGGAAAUUUUUAAAUCAAAAAGGAUAAUUAAAUCCAAAUAAUU